RNAcentral lists this non-coding RNA (26 nucleotides) under Homo sapiens (human). Lineage: Eukaryota; Metazoa; Chordata; Mammalia; Primates; Hominidae. The record is from RNAcentral.
UGCAGGGAUGUGUGCUGCAGGGCUGC